CUGUCUGAAUUUGAGUGUUUACAUUUCUCCAACCCUAUCCCUCAGCUGUUUAGCGAAACAGUGGUGGGUUCCCACUUUGUAGUUGUUUUAACUGCAGAGGGGUACACUACAAAAUAGGAUCGAAGAGUUAGCCAGCUAACUUUGAUAAGCAACCAGAGGGGUACACUACAAAGUAGGAUCGAAGAGUUAGCCAGCUAACUUUGAUAAGCAACCAGAGGGGUACACUACAAAGUAGGAUCGAAGAGUUAGCCAGCUAACUUUGAUAAGCAACCAGUGGGGUACACUACAAAGUAGGAUCGAAGAGUUAGCCAGCUAACUUUGAUAAGCAACCAGAGGGGUACACUACAAAGUAGGAUCGAAGAGUUAGCCAGCUAACUUUGAUAAGCAACCAGAGGGGUACACCACAAAGUAGGAUCGAAGAGUUAGCCAGCUAACUUUGAUAAGCAACCAGAGGGAUACACUACAAAGUAGGAUCGAAGAGUUAGCCAGCUAACUUUGAUAAGCAACCAGAAAUAACUAUUAAUUUUCUAAUUCACUUAGUACCCUACACUUAGAUAUAUGUUUUUUUGGUUGCUGAGUCAAUCAGACCAUAACCCUUUCAUGCUUAUCUUUCUAAAACAUUAUUUGAGAUAAUUUUGGCAAGUUAAAUGACUAACUUGCCAAAUCAUACAUUAUAGUGUACACUUCUGUUUGUAGUGUACACUUCUGUUUGUAGUGUACAAUUCUGUUUGUAGUGUACAAUUAUGUUUGUAGUUUGCCCCUUUCAAAAUGAACAAGUAGCUACAGGUAAAUUGUAUACAUUAGCUCAAUAGUUUGACAUCUUGCCUCCAUUUAUCAAUCUAUGCAUUUGAGUGUUUUACACUUCUCCAUCCCUUAGAUUGACCUGUUGUUGUCUGAACUGCAGACUGGCCCUUUUUCAUGAACAAAGCAGCAACAGCAUAAACAUAAAUACAUUAUAUAAUUACUGUCACAUUGGACUGAGCAGGAUCAGGAGGACCAGUUAGAGUUGGUCCACAGGUGUAUCUCAAUACUCUCUUAGUCUCCUCUCUGUGUCUAUGUCCUCAGUCGGUCCACAGGUGUAUCUCAAUACUCUCUUAGUCUCCUCUCUGUGUCUAUGUCCUCAGUCGGUCCACAGGUGUAUCUCAAUACUCUCUUAGUCCCCUCUCUGUGUCUAUGUCCUCAGUUGGUCCACAGGUGUAUCUCAAUACUCUCUUAGUCCCCUCUCUGUGUCUAUGUCCUCAGUUGGUCCACAGGUGUAUCUCAAUACUCUCUUAGUCUCCUCUCUGUGUCUAUGUCCUCAGUUAGUCCACAGGUGUAUCUCAAUACUCUCUUAGUCUCCUCUCUGUGUCCUCA
Molecule: long non-coding RNA, 1353 nt
Organism: Oncorhynchus keta (chum salmon)
Lineage: Eukaryota; Metazoa; Chordata; Actinopteri; Salmoniformes; Salmonidae
Exons: 3
Source: RefSeq, a predicted model, not a curated record